AGUCGUAACAAGGUCUCCGUUGGUGAACCAGCGGAGGGAUCAUUACAGAGUUGACCCUAACUCCCAAACCCCAUGUGAACAUACCUUACGUUGCCUCGGCAGGCCGUGUCCUACCCCGUCGGGCCCUAGCUUCCGUCAGGGCCUACCCGGGACGGGCGCGGGCUCCCCUGCCGGCGGCCUACCAAACUCUGUUUUCAACAUUGUACCUCUGAAUAUAUAACUAAAUCAGUUAAAA
RNAcentral lists this unclassified non-coding RNA (235 nucleotides) under plant metagenome. RNAcentral describes it as "partial contains small subunit ribosomal RNA and internal transcribed spacer 1". The stretch from base 1 to 45 matches the Rfam family "Eukaryotic small subunit ribosomal RNA", at positions 1787 to 1831 of the family's 1831-position model. The record is from RNAcentral.